GGCCCUCCUCCUAGCCCCGCCCCAAACAGAGCGGGAGUUUGGACUGGGCCAAAUGCCGGUGCUGUUCUUUCUCCUGGCUCCGGGUCGUGAACUUUUUAGGACUGUGUUUCAGAUAAGAGCCUCUUCAAACCCACAGUUGCCAAAGCGGGGGUCAUCAUCUAUUCGGAGGCUGGAGAGAGAAGAGAAUGUUGGUGGAAAAGAGCCGACACCAACUGACAGUAAGGAAGAAGUUCAAGUUGCUUACUAGUGUGAGUUGCAGUGAUGGAGAAGACGGUCUGCAGCCAGUUCCUAAGAAAACCAAAUGCCUAGAGCACCAGCUAAGGGCUCUGCAGAUCACCAACGUACCAAAAAAUGUUUUCCUUGUCACUGGCCUGGUCAAACUCAUAACCCUAAACAUCGGCUCAGCUGAUGAUGCCGUUCACGCCCAG
Long non-coding RNA from Lontra canadensis (Northern American river otter), 428 nucleotides. RefSeq lists it as uncharacterized. The record is from RefSeq and is a predicted model, not a curated record. The transcript is spliced from 3 exons. Lineage: Eukaryota; Metazoa; Chordata; Mammalia; Carnivora; Mustelidae.